GAUGAACGCUGGCGGCGUGCUUAACACAUGCAAGUCGAACGAUGAAGCCCAGCUUGCUGGGUGGAUUAGUGUCGAACGGGUGAGUAACACGUGAGUAACCUGCCCUUAACUCUGGGAUAAGCCUGGGAAACUGGGUCUAAUACCGGAUAGGAGCGUCCACCGCAUGGUGGGUGUUGGAAAGAUUUAUCGGUUUUGGAUGGACUCGCGGCCUAUCAGCUUGUUGGUGAGGUAAUGGCUCACCAAGGCGACGACGGGUAGCCGGCCUGAGAGGGUGACCGGCCACACUGGGACUGAGACACGGCCCAGACUCCUACGGGAGGCAGCAGUGGGGAAUAUUGCACAAUGGGCGCAAGCCUGAUGCAGCGACGCCGCGUGAGGGAUGACGGCCUUCGGGUUGUAAACCUCUUUCAGUAGGGAAGAAGCGAAAGUGACGGUACCUGCAGAAGAAGCACCGGCUAACUACGUG
This 466-nucleotide ribosomal RNA is filed under the name uncultured bacterium. RNAcentral describes it as "partial 16S ribosomal RNA". It matches the Rfam family "Bacterial small subunit ribosomal RNA", at positions 28 to 507 of the family's 1533-position model. The record is from RNAcentral.